RNAcentral lists this ribosomal RNA (514 nucleotides) under uncultured bacterium. Its description in RNAcentral is "partial 16S ribosomal RNA". It matches the Rfam family "Bacterial small subunit ribosomal RNA", at positions 28 to 523 of the family's 1533-position model. The record is from RNAcentral.
GAUGAACGCUGGCGGCGUGCCUAAUACAUGCAAGUCGAGCGAACAGAUGAGAAGCUUGCUUCUCUGAUGUUAGCGGCGGACGGGUGAGUAACACGUGGGUAACCUACCUAUAAGACUGGGAUAACUCCGGGAAACCGGGGCUAAUACCGGAUAAUAUUUUGAACCGCAUGGUUCAAUAGUGAAAGACGGCUUCGGCUGUCACUUAUAGAUGGACCCGAGCCGUAUUAGCUAGUUGGUAAGGUAACGGCUUACCAAGGCGACGAUACGUAGCCGACCUGAGAGAGUGAUCGGCCAAACUGGAACUGAGACACGGUCCAGACUCCUACGGGAAGCAGCAGUAGGGAAUCUUCCGCAAUGGGCGAAAGCCUGACGGAGCAACGCCGCGUGCGAGAUGAAGGUCUUCGGAUCGUAAAACUCUGUUGUUAGGGAAGAACAAAUUUGUUAGUAACUGAACAAGUCUUGACGGUACCUAACCAGAAAGCCACGGCUAACUACGUGCCAGCCGCCGCAGUAA